GUCGAGCGGAACGAUGGGAGCUUGCUCCCAGGCGUCGAGCGGCGGACGGGUGAGUAACACUUAGGAAUCUACCUAGUAGUGGGGGAUAGCUCGGGGAAACUCGAAUUAAUACCGCAUACGUCCUACGGGAGAAAGGGGGCAACUUGUUGCUCUCGCUAUUAGAUGAGCCUAAGUCGGAUUAGCUAGUUGGUGGGGUAAAGGCCUACCAAGGCGACGAUCUGUAGCUGGUCUGAGAGGAUGAUCAGCCACACCGGGACUGAGACACGGCCCGGACUCCUACGGGAGGCAGCAGUGGGGAAUAUUGGACAAUGGGGGCAACCCUGAUCCAGCCAUGCCGCGUGUGUGAAGAAGGCCUUUUGGUUGUAAAGCACUUUAAGCAGUGAAGAAGACCCCAUGGUUAAUACCCGUGUGCGAUGACAUUAGCUGCAGAAUAAGCACCGGCUAACUCUGUGCCAGCAGCCGCGGUAAUACAGAGGGUGCAAGCGUUAAUCGGAAUUACUGGGCGUAAAGCGAGCGUAGGUGGCUUGAUAAGUCAGAUGUGAAAUCCCCGGGCUUAACCUGGGAACUGCAUCUGAUACUGUUAGGCUAGAAUAGGUGAGAGGAA
Molecule: ribosomal RNA, 604 nt
Filed under: Psychrobacter sp. CS6328
Lineage: Bacteria; Pseudomonadati; Pseudomonadota; Gammaproteobacteria; Moraxellales; Moraxellaceae
Description: bacterial SSU rRNA
Rfam family: Bacterial small subunit ribosomal RNA
Source: RNAcentral